UACGGAGGGUGCAAGCGUUGUCCGGAUUUAUUGGGCGUAAAGGGUGCGUAGGUGGGGUGUCAAGUCUGGUUUGAAAGUUCCCUGCUCAACAGUUAGACGUGGCUGGAAACUGGGGUUCUGGAAUGGGUUGGAGGCUGCCGGAACGGGUCAUGUAGCGGUGAAAUGCAUAGAUAUGACCCAGAACACCGAUUGCGAAGGCAGGCAGCUACGACCUGAUUGACACUGAGGCGCGAGAGCAUGGGGAGCGAACAGG
This 253-nucleotide ribosomal RNA is filed under the name uncultured bacterium. RNAcentral's name for it is "partial 16S ribosomal RNA". It matches the Rfam family "Bacterial small subunit ribosomal RNA", at positions 524 to 776 of the family's 1533-position model. The record is from RNAcentral.